UCUCCGUCGGUGAACCAGCGGAGGGAUCAUUAUCGAGUUUAUAACUCCCAAACCCUAUGUGAACUUACCACUUGUUGCUUCGGCGCGCGCUUCGGCGCCGCCGAGGACACUUAAACUCUUUGUUUUUAUAAGCAUUUCUGAGUGGCCGAAAGGCAAAAUACAAAUGAAUCAAAACUUUCAACAACGGAUCUCUUGGUUCUG
This 201-nucleotide unclassified non-coding RNA is filed under the name plant metagenome. Its description in RNAcentral is "partial contains small subunit ribosomal RNA, internal transcribed spacer 1, and 5.8S ribosomal RNA". The record is from RNAcentral.